Small RNA from Flavobacterium branchiophilum FL-15, 107 nucleotides. It matches the Rfam family "Flavo-1 RNA". Lineage: Bacteria; Pseudomonadati; Bacteroidota; Flavobacteriia; Flavobacteriales; Flavobacteriaceae. The record is from Rfam.
GUUUUGCGUGAGGGAUAGCAGUGGAAAUCCUUUUUUUGGGUUUUUGCGGGUUUUUUUUUACCCCGCAAAAACCCAAAAAAAGAUUGGAACGAAUAGCCCGACCCGUA